AAUAGGGGAGCCGCAGGGAAACCGAGUCUUAACUGGGCGUUAAGUUGCAGGGUAUAGACCCGAAACCCGGUGAUCUAGCCAUGGGCAGGUUGAAGGUUGGGUAACACUAACUGGAGGACCGAACCGACUAAUGUUGAAAAAUUAGCGGAUGACUUGUGGCUGGGGGUGAAAGGCCAAUCAAACCGGGAGAUAGCUGGUUCUCCCCGAAAGCUAUUUAGGUAGCGCCUCGUGAACUCAUCUUCGGGGGUAGAGCACUGUUUCGGCUAGGGGGUCAUCCCGACUUACCAACCCGAUGCAAACUACGAAUACCGAAGAAUGUUAUCACGGGAGACACACGGCGGGUGCUAACGUCCGUCGUGAAGAGGGAAACAACCCAGACCGCCAGCUAAGGUCCCAAAGUCAUGGUUAAGUGGGAAACGAUGUGGGAAGGCCCAGACAGCCAGGAUGUUGGCUUAGAAGCAGCCAUCAUUUAAAGAAAGCGUAAUAGCUCACUGGUCGAGUCGGCCUGCGCGGAAGAUGUAACGGGGCUAAACCAUGCACCGAAGCUGCGGCAGCGACACUAUGUGUUGUUGGGUAGGGGAGCGUUCUGUAAGCCGUUGAAGGUGGCCUGUGAGGGUUGCUGGAGGUAUCAGAAGUGCGAAUGCUGACAUAAGUAACGAUAAUGCGGGUGAAAAACCCGCACGCCGGAAGACCAAGGGUUCCUGUCCAACGUUAAUCGGGGCAGGGUGAGUCGACCCCUAAGGCGAGGCCGAAAGGCGUAGUCGAUGGGAAACAGGUUAAUAUUCCUGUACUUGGUGUUACUGCGAAGGGGGGACGGAGAAGGCUAUGUUGGCCGGGCGACGGUUGUCCCGGUUUAAGCAUGUAGGCGGAUGUUCCAGGUAAAUCCGGAACGUCACUAACGCUGAGGUGUGAUGACGAGGCACUACGGUGCUGAAGUGACAAAUGCCCUGCUUCCAGGAAAAGCCUCUAAGCAUCAGGUAACAUCAAAUCGUACCCCAAACCGACACAGGUGGUCAGGUAGAGAAUACCAAGGCGCUUGAGAGAACUCGGGUGAAGGAACUAGGCAAAAUGGUGCCGUAACUUCGGGAGAAGGCACGCUGAUGGUAGGUGAAGUGACUUGCUCAUGGAGCUGAAAUCAGUCGAAGAUACCAGCUGGCUGCAACUGUUUAUUAAAAACACAGCACUGUGCAAACACGAAAGUGGACGUAUACGGUGUGACGCCUGCCCGGUGCCGGAAGGUUAAUUGAUGGGGUUAUCCUCGCGGAGAAGCUCUUGAUCGAAGCCCCGGUAAACGGCGGCCGUAACUAUAACGGUCCUAAGGUAGCGAAAUUCCUUGUCGGGUAAGUUCCGACCUGCACGAAUGGCGUAAUGAUGGCCAGGCUGUCUCCACCCGAGACUCAGUGAAAUUGAACUCGCUGUGAAGAUGCAGUGUACCCGCGGCAAGACGGAAAGACCCCGUGAACCUUUACUAUAGCUUGACACUGAACACUGGUCCUUGAUGUGUAGGAUAGGUGGGAGGCUUUGAAGUGUGGACGCCAGUCUGCAUGGAGCCGUCCUUGAAAUACCACCCUUUAAUGGCUGGUGUUCUAACGUGGGCCCGUAAUCCGGGUUGCGGACAGUGUCUGGUGGGUAGUUUGACUGGGGCGGUCUCCUCCUAAAGAGUAACGGAGGAGCACGAAGGUCAGCUAAUCCUGGUCGGACAUCAGGAGGUUAGUGCAAUGGCAUAAGCUGGCUUGACUGCGAGCGUGACGGCGCGAGCAGGUGCGAAAGCAGGUCAUAGUGAUCCGGUGGUUCUGAAUGGAAGGGCCAUCGCUCAACGGAUAAAAGGUACUCCGGGGAUAACAGGCUGAUACCGCCCAAGAGUUCAUAUCGACGGCGGUGUUUGGCACCUCGAUGUCGGCUCAUCACAUCCUGGGGCUGAAGUAGGUCCCAAGGGUAUGGCUGUUCGCCAUUUAAAGUGGUACGCGAGCUGGGUUUAGAACGUCGUGAGACAGUUCGGUCCCUAUCUGCCGUGGGCGCUGGAGAAUUGAGGGGGGCUGCUCCUAGUACGAGAGGACCGGAGUGGACGCAUCACUGGUGUUCGGGUUGUCAUGCCAAUGGCAUUGCCCGGUAGCUAAAUGCGGAAGAGAUAAGUGCUGAAAGCAUCUAAGCACGAAACUUGCCCCGAGAUGAGUUCUCCCUGACUCCUUGAGAGUCCUGAAGGAACGUUGAAGACGACGACGUUGAUAGGCCGGGUGUGUAAGCGCAGCGAUGCGUUGAGCUAACCGGUACUAAUGAACCGUGAGGCUUAACCUU
This 2295-nucleotide ribosomal RNA is filed under the name Klebsiella oxytoca. RNAcentral describes it as "partial 23S ribosomal RNA". It matches the Rfam family "Bacterial large subunit ribosomal RNA", at positions 656 to 2925 of the family's 2925-position model. Lineage: Bacteria; Pseudomonadati; Pseudomonadota; Gammaproteobacteria; Enterobacterales; Enterobacteriaceae. The record is from RNAcentral.